RNAcentral lists this ribosomal RNA (865 nucleotides) under Thyronectria pinicola. Its description in RNAcentral is "LSU rRNA". It matches the Rfam family "Eukaryotic large subunit ribosomal RNA", at positions 37 to 935 of the family's 3401-position model. Lineage: Eukaryota; Fungi; Ascomycota; Sordariomycetes; Hypocreales; Nectriaceae. The record is from RNAcentral.
AGCAUAUCAAUAAGCGGAGGAAAAGAAACCAACAGGGAUUGCCCUAGUAACGGCGAGUGAAGCGGCAACAGCUCAAAUUUGAAAUCUGGCCCUCGUGGUCCGAGUUGUAAUUUGUAGAGGAUGCUUUUGGUGCGGUGCCUUCCGAGUUCCCUGGAACGGGACGCCAUAGAGGGUGAGAGCCCCGUCUGGUUGGACACCAAUCCUCUGUAAAGCUCCUUCGACGAGUCGAGUAGUUUGGGAAUGCUGCUCUAAAUGGGAGGUAAAUGUCUUCUAAAGCUAAAUACCGGCCAGAGACCGAUAGCGCACAAGUAGAGUGAUCGAAAGAUGAAAAGCACUUUGAAAAGAGGGUUAAAUAGUACGUGAAAUUGUUGAAAGGGAAGCGUUUGUGACCAGACUUGGGCUUGGUUAAUCAUCCAGCGUUCUCGCUGGUGCACUUUGCCAGCCCAGGCCAGCAUCAGUUCGCUGCGGGGGAUAAAAGCUUCGGGAACGUGGCUCUUCGGAGUGUUAUAGCCCGCUGCAUAAUACCCUGUGGCGGACUGAGGUUCGCGCAUCUGCAAGGAUGCUGGCGUAAUGGUCAUCAACGACCCGUCUUGAAACACGGACCAAGGAGUCGUCUUCGUAUGCGAGUGUUCGGGUGUCAAACCCCUACGCGUAAUGAAAGUGAACGGAGGUGGGAGCCUCGGCGCACCAUCGACCGAUCCUGAAGUUUACGGAUGGAUUUGAGUAAGAGCAUACGGGGCCGGACCCGAAAGAAGGUGAACUAUGCCUGUAUAGGGUGAAGCCAGAGGAAACUCUGGUGGAGGCUCGCAGCGGUUCUGACGUGCAAAUCGAUCGUCAAAUAUGGGCAUGGGGGCGAAAGACUAAU